UGGACAAUGGUAGGAGAGCGUUCUAAGGGCGUUGAAGCAUGAUCGUAAGGACAUGUGGAGCGCUUAGAAGUGAGAAUGCCGGUGUGAGUAGCGAAAGACGGGUGAGAAUCCCGUCCACCGAUUGACUAAGGUUUCCAGAGGAAGGCUCGUCCGCUCUGGGUUAGUCGGGUCCUAAGCUGAGGCCGACAGGCGUAGGCGAUGGAUAACAGGUUGAUAUUCCUGUACCACCUAUAAUCGUUUUAAUCGAUGGGGGGACGCAGUAGGAUAGGCGAAGCGUGCGAUUGGAUUGCACGUCUAAGCAGUAAGGCUGAGUAUUAGG
This 319-nucleotide ribosomal RNA is filed under the name Staphylococcus aureus. Its description in RNAcentral is "partial 23S ribosomal RNA". It matches the Rfam family "Bacterial large subunit ribosomal RNA", at positions 1219 to 1536 of the family's 2925-position model. Lineage: Bacteria; Bacillati; Bacillota; Bacilli; Caryophanales; Staphylococcaceae. The record is from RNAcentral.